GUGAGCUUUCAUGGAAAUGGGAAGAAUUCCAGAAUUUGUCGGCAUUAAAAAUCUCAAACAAUGAGAUUUCUGGCACAAUACCAGCUGACCUCAGUAAGGCACCUCAAUUGCAAUUACUUGAUAUCUCAUCAAAUCACCUUGUAGGAGUGAUUCCAAAGGAUUUGGGGAAGUUAAAUUUGCUUGAACUUUAUCUUCAUGAUAACAAGCUUUCAGGCAGAAUUCCUGCGGAAAUAGGAAUGUUAUCUGAUCUUGCAAACCUUAACAUGGCAGCAAACAAUCUAAGCGGAACAAUUUCAAAGGAGAUUGGGAAGUGCUCAAAACUGUUGUUCUUGAACCUCAGCAAGAACAAGCUUACAGAGAGCAUUCCUUCAGAAAUAAGCUAUUUGCACUCUCUACAAAGCCUUGAUCUCAGUCAAAAUUUGCUCAUAAAUAAGAUACCACAACAACUUGGAGGUUUGCAAAGACUAGAGACGUUGAACCUUUCUCACAACUUGUUGACAGGUUCCAUUCCAUCUUUCGAUUAUUUAACAAGCUUGACGAAUGUGGAUAUAUCCUACAAUGAGCUGCAGGGUGAAAUUCCAAACAUUAAAGCCUUUCGGGAGGCUUCAUUUGAAGCGUUGAGAAACAACAAAGACCUGUGCGGUAAUAACACCAGACUAAAGCCUUGCGGUUCUCUCGCAGUUAACUGAUUUCAGGUCUGCCUAAGGAGUAUGCUGGAAACAGAACAUUGGUACAUUGAUAGUGGCUGCUCUAGGCACAUGACAGGAAAUAAAGGCAAGUUUUCCUCUCUUACGUUGAAAGAAGAAGGUUAUGUGAAAUUUGGUGAUAAAAGCAAAGCUAAAAUUGUUGGAUGUGGAACUAUUGGUAAAAAUCCUUGCAUUGAGAAUGUUGCAUUAGUUCAAGGAUUAAAGUAUAAUUUUUUAAGUGUUAGUCAACUAUGUGAUAAUGGUUUCAAAGUCAUUUUUACUUCUACACAUUGUGAAAUUCAUGGAAAUAAUGUUAUGUUUGCUGGUGCUAGAAUAGAUAAUAUUUACCUACUUGAUUUAACAAGUCUUGAAGAAAAUUGUGAAACAUGUUUUAUGACUUCAGAUGAUAGUGCAUGGUUAUGGCAUAGAAAAUUAGGACAUGCUAGCAUGAGUACACUUGCUAAACUUUCUAGAAAGAACCUUGUUAGAGGACUUCCAAAGCUAAGAUUUGAAAAAGAAUUUCAAUGCAAAGCUUGUGCACUUGGUAAGCAUACAAAAUCAUAUUUUAAAUCAAAAAAUGUUGUAACUACGUCUAGACCAUUGGAAUUGUUGCAUCUUGAUCUUUUUGGUCCAAUCACACCUAGAAGUCUAGGAGGCAAGGCAUAUGCAUUUGUAAUUGUUGAUGAUUUUUCAAGAUUCACAUGGACUUUCUUUCUUGCUCAUAAAGAUGAAACCUUUGAUAUAUUUGAAGCUUUUUGCAAAAGAACUCAAAAUGAAAAAGGGUAUUGCAUUACAUCUUUGAGGAGUGAUCAUGGAAAAGAAUUUGAAAAUAAUUUGUUUGAAAAUUUCUGCUCUCAAAAUAGUAUUUAUCAUACAUUUUCAGCUCCUAGAACUCCACAACAAAAUGGAGUUGUUGAAAGGAAAAAUAGAUCUUUGCAAGAAAUGGCAAGAACAAUGCUGAAUGAAAACAGUUUACCAAAAUAUUUUUGGGCAGAAGCUGUAAAUACAGCAUGCUACAUUUUAAACAGAGUUUCCAUUAGAGCUAUUUUAAAGAAAACUCCUUAUGAACUUUGGAAAGGAAGAAAACCCAAUAUUGCAUAUUUUCAUGUCUUUGGUUGCAAAUGUUACAUUUUGAAAAACAAAGACAGCAAUCUCAAGAAAUUUGAUGCUAAAUCCUGUGAAGGAAUAUUUCUAGGCUAUUCAACAAAUAGCAAAGCAUAUAGGAUCUUCAAUAGAAAAACAUUGACCAUGGAAGAAUCAAUGCAUAUACUUUUUGAUGAUGCUAACACUUCCUUGCAAAGGAAAGAUUCUUGUGAUGAUGAGAUUGAGCAGAUUCUAAACUCAAAGAGUUCAAAUAAUGAUGAGCUUGAAUCAAAAGAACCAGUGGAGGAUGAUCAAAAUGACAAAGAAGAAGAACUCCCUUGCUCCACAAAUAUUGAAAUACAAGAUGACUCCCAACCAAAUGUGGAAGAACUACAAAUUGAGGAACCUCAACAUCAAGAUAUUCCACAAGAAUGGAGGUACCAUAGAAAUCAUUCCAAAGAUGACAUUCUUGAUAGUCCAUCACAAAGAAUGAUGACAAGAGCUCAACUUAGAAGAUAUUUUGGUAAUGUUGCUUUUGUUUCACAAAUUGAACCUAAAUGUUUUGAAGAUGCUCAAAAUGAUGAAAGUUGGAUUCUUGCCAUGCAAGAAGAACUAAAUCAAUUUGAGAGAAAUAAAGUUUGGAAUUUAGUGCCUAGACCAAAAGAUCAUUCAAUUAUUGGUACUAAAUGGGUUUUUAGAAACAAAAUGGAUGAAAAAGGCAAUGUUGUUAGAAACAAAGCUAGACUAGUGGCUCAAGGCUACAACCAAGAGGAAGGGAUUGAUUUUGAUGAAACCUUUGCUCCGGUUGCUAGAAUUGAAGCUAUUAGAAUGUUGUGUGCCUUUGCAUGUUACAAGGAUUUUAUGCUUUAUCAAAUGGAUGUCAAGAGUGCAUUUUUAAAUGGUUAUAUUGAUGAGGAAGUGUAUGUUGCACAACCUCUGGGCUUUGAAAAUCAUGAGCAUCCAAAUUAUGUUUAUAAACUUACUAAAGCUUUAUAUGGUUUAAAAUAAGCUCCUAGAGUAUGGUAUGAAAGGUUUAGUAAAUUUCUUUUACAAAAUGAUUUCUAAAGAGGCAAAGUGGACACAAUACUUUUUGUUAAGAAGCAUCAUAAUGAUAUGCUCAUUGUGCAAAUUUAUGUUGAUGAUAUAAUUUUUGGUGCUACUAAAGAAUCUCUUUGCAAGAAAUUUUCUAAGAUUAUGCAGAAUGAAUUUGAAAUGAGCAUGAUGGGUGAGCUCACAUUCUUCCUUGGACUUCAAAUUAAGCAAAUGAAAGAUGGCAUCUUCAUAAAUCAAUCAAAGUAUAUCAAGGAUAUGUUGAAGAAAUUUAAAAUGGAAGAUUUGAAGAGCAUGGGCACUCCUAUGAGUUCAAAAAUCAAAAUGGACAAUGAUGAAAAAGGUAAAGAAGUAGAUACCAAGCUUUAUAGAGGUAUGAUUGGCUCUCUUUUGUACCUUACUGCAUCUAGACCAGACAUACACUUUAGUGUUUGCUUGUGUGCAAGAUUUCAAUCAUGUCCAAAAGAAUCCCAUCUAAGUGCAGUUAAAAGAAUUUUUAGAUAUCUCAUUGGCUCACAAUCAAUUGGUUUAUGGUAUCCAAAGUGUGAAUCAUUUAAUCUUGUUGGCUAUAGUGACUCUGAUUUUGCUGGAAGUAGACUGGAUAGAAAAAGUACUUCAGGUACUUGUCAAUUUCUUGGUCUUGCACUAGUUUCUUGGCACAGUAAGAAACAAACUUCAGUAGCUUUAUCUACAGCUGAGGCAGAAUAUAUAGCUGCUGGUAGUUGUGUUGCUCAAAUUUUAUGGAUGAAACAACAAUUGGAAGAUUUUGGUUUAAAAUAUAAUCUUGUUCCAAUUAGGUGUGACAACACUAGUGCCAUAAACUUGGUCAAAAAUCCAGUCCAACAUUCAAGAACAAAACAUAUUGAGAUUAGACAUCAUUUUAUUAGAGAUCAUGUUCAAAAUGGAAAUAUCAAGAUAGAGUUUGUUGCCUCUGAAAAUCAACUUGCUGACAUUUUUACAAAACCUCUUAAUGAAGAAACCUUUUGUAGAAUUAGAAGGGAAAUUGGUAUGUGUGAAUCACUUGCUUGAAAUCUAAAUCAUAAUGACAUCAUGUAUCUACAUUUUAUUGAAUGUGUAAUUGAUCUGCUGUGAUAUUAGUUUGCUGAAAAAUCUUUAAAGAAUAUUAGCUAACUUGUUUGUGUACUUGUGAAAUUAGUUUACUAAGUUGUAUGCUAAUAUUGCGUGACUAAAAUUAGUUUGCUAUAUCGUGUACUGUUCAAAUCUCAAACCAAAACGUGAUUAUGGCUGAAAUUUUCUGCGUGUCCAGUUAUGCAUUUAUCUUUUCACAUUUGAUAUUACAUUCUCAAUGCUGUGUCAGACAUGUAAAAAUAUUUAUUUGUGCAUAUAAAGAUAAAUAGACUUGUUUAAAAUAAAAAAAAAAAGGGGGAAGAAAACAGGUUCAGAGAAAGUACACUGGAAUAGAAAAGCGCGGGACUCAAGAGAACUUAAAAUCCUCUGCCACACGAAACCGUCACCCUCUCUCUCCUCUGCAUCGGUUCAUGACGCCUCUAAAACAAACCCAUUUUCUUUCCGGCAAAAUAUAUCCAAACCCAUCAGACUUCUCGUCUCUCCUUUCCUCUCCACUCUUACAUACCGAAAAACCAGUACUCAUUUUCACAUUUUUUUUUCGUCAAUGGCUCAUGCUAAAUGAAAAUCUCCAGUUGCUGCGGCUGCUUCCUCAUCCUCAUCAGCCUCCGACGAUAUCCCUGUCGCUGCAUUACGAAAGAAAUUGAAAGGGAAGAAAAAUUUACCUGAAUCGAAAUUAACAAGUGGGUCUUCCGACCCAUCCAAGGCUGUCGAACCCACUAUAACGACGCCAGAAAAGAAAAAGAAGCGGCAAAUGCGAAAGAGUGAUACCCAACGCAAAAAUGGGGCUGCCCAAUCUUUGGGCUCAGUGGAUAAAGCACUAUUAGAUUGAAAAUUUAUCAAAUGGGAGUACUUCAAUCAGGUAAACUUUCAAUUCAAAGAGAUUUUUGAGUUUCAAGGAUGGAUGGCUGUUUGUGAAUGUACAAAUGCAUAUUACCCUAGGCUUGUUCAAGAUUUCUAUAGAACCUUAAGAACAGUUGAUGAUGAGGACAAAUUUGAGGUUGUUUUGAAUGAUAGUGUAUAUGCUGUUUCUGUUGAAAUGAUAGCUACGGCUUUGAACUUGCCUAAUGAUGGAAAUAAAAUCUCCACACAUAGAGAUGUUGCUAGGGUGCCAGCCUUUAAUUUGGUUGAGUUUGAAAAUGAAGUCUUCCCUGCCAACACUGCCACCAAUGAAAAGUCCACUAGCACAAAAGCUUUUCAACAUAUUAAAAUCAUUCACAGUAUAGUGAACUACAUUUUCUGUCCUAAGUCUGGCAGCUAUGGUUAUUUGAGUCACCUGGACAUGUGUAUUAUGUGUCACAUUGUUAACAAAGUACUGAUGAAUUUGGCUUAUUUAAUUUUCAAGAACAUGUGCAAAGCUUAUGGGAUUGGAAAACUGCCUUAUGCACAUCUCUUGACUGCUGUGUUUAAAGAGCUGAAUAUAAAUGUCUCUAAGGAAAGUUCUAGGACUGAUUUGAUUGUGCUUAGAGAAAUUCACUCUGACACUGACGGAAGAAAGAAAAUGUUUGAAAGGGGUGGUUCUUCCUCAGCUAAGGUUGGUUCCGAUUCUACAAAUGAAUUUAUGAGUGAGCUUCAAGGGCUAAAAGCUGCUGUUAAUGAUCAAUUUAGUUCAACCCAUCAGUCCAUUGAUCUUUUGAGAAAAUUUGUGGAUGUGGUUGACUACAAAGUAAGUCACCUGCUUACUCAAAAUGAGGAAUUAAAAAGGCUAAUUGUGGAUCUUCAGCAGGCCAAGGAAACUGGUUUCCCAACUAAGGUUGAGGCUGCUACUCAAGUCUCUGCUGAUAAGGGUGAAAGCAAUAAGGUUGGUGAGUCUCCUGAUGCUAUAGCACAUAAAAGUGACCAAGUAGCUGAACCUGAGCUUGAACCUGCAGUAGAAGCUCCUGUUGAGCAUGCUACUGAACAGGUCAUUGAACCUGAAAUUGGCCUCGCAGCUGAUGUACCUACUGAGCAUGAUAUUGGAAAGGUUGUAGAACCUGAAGGAGAGCUGCCUGUUGAACCUCCAACUGCUCCACCAGUUGAGACUGCUGCUGCCCCUACGCAGCACCAGGAAACCUCUUUAAAAGAUCACCAAGCUAGUGCUCAAACUCAGCUAUCUGCAGCUGCUGCCCCUGCAGCCAAGAAAGGAAAGAAAAGGUACAAAUCAACCAUGUCAAAUCCAUAUCAGACAUUAGCUGCUGCUCUUGAACCACCAUCUAAAGAAGAUGAGCCCGAGAAAGAUGAUCAAGUGGCUGACCAAGCACCUCAGCCCCCCUGUUAUUAAACUCCCUAGGAAGAAAAUGGUGCCUUCAAAAUCCACUCGCAGAAGUAAAAGACUUAAAUAGCAUCUCAUCUGGAUUUUUAGUUUACUAUCUGCAUAGUUAGUUUACUAGUCUGUUUGCUACUAUUGGUUUUUAGUUUGCUACCGUCUACCUUAUUGCGUUUACAUUUGGGCUAACAUGAUUCUUUUUGGGUUCUUUUCUCCUGUUUCAUUUUUGAUUGAUGACAAAAAGGGGGAGAAUGGAAUGGAUGCGUGCUUUUGUUUUGGGAAAAAUGGAUAUGUGCUUAUACUUUGAAAAUGGAAGUAUGUUUAUGUGCAAAUUAUUAAGUUUAACUUUUUGCAUAUUAAAAUUGUGAAUAUCUUAUAAACAUGCUUUGUAGCAUAAAUUCAGGGGGAGUUUUGUAUAGCUGACAAUAUUUUUUUUUACUUGUGUGCAUAUAUUUAGGGGGAGUAUUUUCCGCAUACUAGCUUGCUUGUAUAUACAUAAACUUACGCACACUUUUAUUUAUUCUUGAUUGAUGAUUCAAUUGAGUUUUGUCAUCA
Molecule: unclassified non-coding RNA, 6705 nt
Filed under: Hevea brasiliensis (rubber tree)
Lineage: Eukaryota; Viridiplantae; Streptophyta; Magnoliopsida; Malpighiales; Euphorbiaceae
Source: RNAcentral